UCAGAAAACAAGGGCCAAGACUGGCAGG
This 28-nucleotide non-coding RNA is filed under the name Rattus norvegicus (Norway rat). Lineage: Eukaryota; Metazoa; Chordata; Mammalia; Rodentia; Muridae. The record is from RNAcentral.